UGGGGAAUAUUGGACAAUGGGGGCAACCCUGAUCCAGCCAUGCCGCGUGUGUGAAGAAGGCCUUCGGGUUGUAAAGCUCUUUUAGUCGGAAAGAAAGAGUUGCAAUGAAUAAUUGUGAUUUAUGACGGUACCGACAGAAAAAGCACCGGCUAACUACGUGCCAGCAGCCGCGGUAAUACGUAGGGUGCGAGCGUUUAUCGGAAUUACUGGGCGUAAAGGGUGCGCAGGCGGUCUUGCAAGUCAGAUGUGAAAGCCCCGGGCUUAACCUGGGAAUUGCGUUUGAAACUACAAGGCUAGAGUGCAGCAGAGGGGAGUGGAAUUCCAUGUGUAGCAGUGAAAUGCGUAGAGAUGUGGAAGAACACCGAUGGCGAAGGCAGCUCCCUGGGUUGACACUGACGCUCAUGCACGAAAGCGUGGGGAGCAAACA
Molecule: ribosomal RNA, 427 nt
Filed under: uncultured beta proteobacterium
Lineage: Bacteria; Pseudomonadati; Pseudomonadota; Betaproteobacteria
Description: bacterial SSU rRNA
Rfam family: Bacterial small subunit ribosomal RNA
Source: RNAcentral